Cavia porcellus (domestic guinea pig) is the source of this 1828-nucleotide long non-coding RNA. RefSeq lists it as uncharacterized. Lineage: Eukaryota; Metazoa; Chordata; Mammalia; Rodentia; Caviidae. The record is from RefSeq and is a predicted model, not a curated record. The transcript is spliced from 4 exons.
GAGCCCUUUCGGAAACCAGGAGAGCUCUGAAAAGCUGGUAGUACAGCCUUUAAAGGAAGUAUUAGUCCUGCGGUUGCCAGUGACAUCACAGGAGAGAGAUGGGCCCAGGAGCCAAUCAUUGAUAAAGUUGGGGCUGGCUGCUCACCCAAUCAAGUGGCCCAAGGGAGGAGGGCUCUUCCCAGUCCUGUUGCAGAAGUGCUUACUUAGAGUUUGGUGAUGAGAUCCUGGAGCUGAGCUUACAUCUCUUGUUCCUGUGACUUCUUACUGAGGGUUGCAAAAGAUCCUUGGAAAUCCUCAAGCAUCACAAUGGAGACAGUGACUUUUGAAGAUGUAGCUCUGAACUUCACCCCAGAAGAGUGGGAUUUGCUGAAUGAAUCCCAAAAGAAUCUCUACAGAGAUGUGAUGUGGGAAAUAUCUAUGAAUAUUAAUGCUACAGGAAGAAUAUGGUGGCCAACAAAUUAAAGAAGAGGACAAAAAUGGCUCAAGAAAUCUAAGCUGAUCGACACACAAAAGAGAAAGGGAACAUUCCUUAAGUUCAGUGUUUGAGCAAACUACUACAACAAAGAUGUGAUGAAGACAAUUAUUUGAGAAUUGAAGAGCAGCAAUAUAAAUGUAAUGAAGAUGUAGAGACCUGCAGUGAUUUCCAGUCCUUUCAGAAGCAUGAAAUGAGAAAGACUGGAGAGAAACUCUGUCAAUAUGGGCAAUGUGGGGAGGACAGCUCUGAUCUUAGGGAAUAAACUCACCCUGAGAAGAAAAUAUUUUCAGGUAAGAAAAGUGUCAAAACCUACACAAAACCUAACAGUGUUCAAAAUCAUGGGAGAUAUCACAGUUCAGGGAGCUCAUAUGUACAAAAAUAGUAAGAGAAUAAUUUCAUGCCUUCAUACUAUAUUGAAAAAAUGUUACAAAAUAUGUUGGAGAGAAAAACCAUAUAACUGAGAAAUGUGCAAAUGCAUUAUCUUGCAGCAAUUCCUUUAAAAACCAUAAAAAACAUCACACUGGAAAGCAAACAUGUGAACACAAGCAAUUCAUUCAGUACAUGCAGUAGCUGUCAAAGACAUAAAAGAAUUCAAACUGGUGAGAAACUAUAUAUAAGCAAAAAAAAGUGGAACAGCAUUCAUGAGAACCUCAGAAUGUAAAAUAUGAUAGAACUCAUACUGGGGAGAAAUCAUUUGUAUGUAAGCAAUGUGGGAAAUCUUUCAGUCAAAAUGGUAAUCUUAUUGUACAUGAAACAAUUCACACUGGGGAGAAACCCUAUGUAUGCAACAAAUGUGGGAAAACAUUUAGUAGAGCCUCUGAUUUGUAAAGUACAUAAUAGUAUUCACUCUGAGAAGAAGCCAUAUGUAUCUAAGCGGUGUGGAAAAUCUUUUAGACACAGAAGAUUCUUAAGUAGACAUAAAAGAUUUCACAGUGUGGAGAAAACCUUGAUAUGCAAACAAUGUGGGAAAUCUUUCAGUCAAAAUUGUAACUUUCUUAUACAUGGAAGAAGUCACACUGGGUAGAAACCCUAUGUAUGUGAGGAGUGUGAAAUAUUUCAGUCAAAAUGGUAACCUUAUACAUGAAAAAGUUCACUCAGGAGAAACCCUAUUUCUGCAACAAAUGAGGCAAAGCAUUCAGUACAACUUAUUGUUUUAAAGCUCAUGAUAGAAUUCACACUGUGGAGAAGCCAUAUGUAUGUAAGCAGUGUGGCAUAUCUUUCUGUCAAAAUGGUACCCUUACUCAUGAAAGAACUCAGACUGGGUAGAACCACAAUGGAUACAAACAAUGUGGCAAAGAAUUCAGUAUGCAGAGGUGCUGAAAACUUUAUUUACAUAAGCAUUUUUGGAUGUCU